This 402-nucleotide ribosomal RNA is filed under the name bacterium. RNAcentral describes it as "partial 16S ribosomal RNA". It matches the Rfam family "Bacterial small subunit ribosomal RNA", at positions 355 to 776 of the family's 1533-position model. The record is from RNAcentral.
UGGGGAAUUUUGCACAAUGGGGGAAACCCUGAUGCAGCGACGCCGCGUGAUUUAGAAGGCCUUCGGGUUGUAAAAAUCUUUUCUAUGGGAAGAAAAUGACAGUACCAUAGGAAUAAGGACCGGCUAAUUACGUGCCAGCAGCCGCGGUAAUACGUAAGGUCCGAGCGUUGUCCGGAAUCAUUGGGCGUAAAGGGUACGUAGGCGGGCAAGCAAGUUAGAAGUGAAAUCCUAUAGCUCAACUAUAGUAAGCUUUUAAAACUGCUCAUCUUGAGGUAUGGAAGGGAAAGUGGAAUUCCUAGUGUAGCGGUGAAAUGCGCAGAUAUUAGGAGGAAUACCGGUGGCGAAGGCGACCUUCUGGCCAUAACCUGACGCUGAGGUACGAAAGCGUGGGUAGCAAACAGG